CCUACGGGUGGCAGCAGUGGGGAAUAUUGCACAAUGGGGGAAACCCUGAUGCAGCGACGCCGCGUGGAGGAAGAAGUAUUUCGGUAUGUAAACUCCUUUUAGCAGGGACGAUAAUGACGGUACCUGAAGAAAAAGCCCCGGCUAACUACGUGCCAGCAGCCGCGGUAAUACGUAGGGAGCGAGCGUUGUCCGGAUUUACUGGGUGUAAAGGGAGCGUAGGCGGGAACGCAAGUCAGAUGUGAAAACUGGGGGCUCAACCCUGAGACUGAAUUUGAAACUGUUGUGCUGGAGUGAAGUAGAGGUAAGCGGAAGUCCUAGUGUAGCGGUGAAAUGCGUAGAUAUUAGGAGGAACAUCGGUGGCGAAGGCGGCUUACUGGGCGUUUACUGACGCUGAGGCUCGAAAGCGUGGGGAGCAAACAGGAUUAGAUACCCCAGUAGUC
This 440-nucleotide ribosomal RNA is filed under the name uncultured bacterium. Its description in RNAcentral is "partial 16S ribosomal RNA". It matches the Rfam family "Bacterial small subunit ribosomal RNA", at positions 338 to 795 of the family's 1533-position model. The record is from RNAcentral.